Molecule: ribosomal RNA, 496 nt
Filed under: uncultured bacterium
Lineage: Bacteria
Description: partial 16S ribosomal RNA
Rfam family: Bacterial small subunit ribosomal RNA
Source: RNAcentral
AUGAACGCUGGCGGCGUGCCUAAUACCUGCAAGUCGAGCGAACGGACGAGAAGCUUGCUUUUCUGAUGUUAGCGGCGGACGGGUGAGUAACACGUGGAUAACCUACCUAUAAGACUGGGAUAACUUCGGGAAACCGGAGCUAAUACCGGAUAAUAUUUUGAACCGCCUGGUUCAAAAGUGAAAGACGGUCUUGCUGUCACUUAUAGCUGGAUCCGCGCUGCAUUAGCUAGUUGGUAAGGUAACGGCUUACCAAGGCAACGAUGCAUAGCCGACCUGAGAGGGUGAUCGGCCACACUGGAACUGAGACACGGUCCAGACUCCUACGGGAGGCAGCAGUAGGGAAUCUUCCGCAAUGGGCGAAAGCCUGACGGAGCAACGCCGCGUGAGUGAUGAAGGUCUUCGGAUCGUAAAACUCUGUUAUUAGGGAAGAACAUAUGUGUAAGUAACUGUGCACAUCUUGACGGUACCUAAUCAGAAAGCCACGGCUAACUACGUG